UACGUAGGGUGCGAGCGUUAUUCGGAAUUACUGGGCGUAAAGCGUGCGCAGGCGGUUUUUUGAGCCAGGUGUGAAAUCCCCGGGCUUAACCUGGGAAUGGCAUUUGGGACUGCAAGGCUGGAGUGUGGCAGAGGAGACUGGAAUUCCCGGUGUAGCAGUGAAAUGCGUAGAUAUCGGGAGGAAUACCGAUGGCGAAGGCAGGUCUCUGGGCUGACACUGACGCUCAUGCACGAAAGCGUGGGGAGCAAACAGG
Molecule: ribosomal RNA, 253 nt
Filed under: uncultured bacterium
Lineage: Bacteria
Description: partial 16S ribosomal RNA
Rfam family: Bacterial small subunit ribosomal RNA
Source: RNAcentral